This 138-nucleotide small nucleolar RNA is filed under the name Ornithorhynchus anatinus (platypus). Lineage: Eukaryota; Metazoa; Chordata; Mammalia; Monotremata; Ornithorhynchidae. The record is from RNAcentral.
ACCCUCUCAGGGUCGCAACUGGAGAGUUUCCUGUACUCUACCGGUCUCGGCUACGGGAGGGAGAGUCAAGCAGAGACCUACCCCUUCCAUUCCUAGCUUGGCCAGUGGCUAGCGAGUGGAAAGCCAUCUGCUAUAAGU